RNAcentral lists this unclassified non-coding RNA (438 nucleotides) under uncultured Thelephoraceae. Its description in RNAcentral is "sequence contains ITS2". The stretch from base 1 to 155 matches the Rfam family "5.8S ribosomal RNA". Lineage: Eukaryota; Fungi; Basidiomycota; Agaricomycetes; Thelephorales; Thelephoraceae. The record is from RNAcentral.
AACUUUCGACAACGGAUCACUUGGCUCUCGCAUCGAUGAAGAACGCAGCGAAAUGCGAUAAGUAAUGUGAAUUGCAGAAUUCAGUGAAUCAUCGCAUCUUUGAACGCACCUUGCGCCCCUCGGUUAUUCCUUUUGGCAUGCCUGUUUGAGUAUCAUGAACACAUCAACUCUCACUGUCUUCCGUGACGAGCUUGGUCUUUUGGGGUUUGCUGGCCCUGCGGCAGGCCCCUCUCAAACAAAUCAGCUUGCCAGUGUUUGGCGGCAUCUCACGGGUGUGACAACUAUCUAAGCUCGUGGCUGUCUGCCAGGUAACCCUCAGCGAUGAAGGUUCAUUGGGGCUCAUAAACGUCUCUCCUCGGCGAGGACAGCUUUUGAACGUUCGAUCUCAAAUCAGGUAGGACUACCCGCUGAACUUAAGCAUAUCAAUAAGCGGAGGCU